RNAcentral lists this ribosomal RNA (250 nucleotides) under Hygrocybe cf. conica 2 CRJH-2017. Its description in RNAcentral is "partial 28S ribosomal RNA". It matches the Rfam family "Eukaryotic large subunit ribosomal RNA", at positions 104 to 344 of the family's 3401-position model. The record is from RNAcentral. Lineage: Eukaryota; Fungi; Basidiomycota; Agaricomycetes; Agaricales; Hygrophoraceae.
AGAGCUCAAAUUUAAAAUCUGGCAGUUCCUUGAGCUGUCCGAGUUGUAAUCUAGAGAAGUGUUUUCCGUGCUGGACCGUGUACAAGUCUCUUGGAAUGGAGCGUCAUAGAGGGUGAGAAUCCCGUCUUUGACACGGACUACCAGUGCUUUUGUGAUGCACUCUCAAAGAGUCGAGUUGUUUGGGAAUGCAGCUCAAAAUGGGUGGUAAAUUCCAUCUAAAGCUAAAUAUAGGCGAGAGACCGAUAGCGAA